This 1469-nucleotide long non-coding RNA is filed under the name Struthio camelus australis. RNAcentral's name for it is "lncRNA (ENSSCUG00000005526.1)". Lineage: Eukaryota; Metazoa; Chordata; Aves; Struthioniformes; Struthionidae. The record is from RNAcentral.
CUCUUUAAGGUGUGCCUAACAAUUUAUGAGGAAGAUCGAGUUUUUGAGGUUUGUUUUUUUUUUUUUUUUCUCCCCGUUUCUGGAGUUUGCAUGCUUGUUCCCCUGUUCUUCUUAGGGCAGGAUUUCCUUCCUAGCAUAAUGGCUGAAACUGUGAAGUACACAAUUCUGCGUGUUGCCAGACGAAUGCCUUCUUUCAGAGUUUGGGAUGGGCUCAGGCAGUAUAAAAAAUGUACUGAGAGACUACUGUUGUAUGGUUUCCUCCAUUUUGUGCUAUAUUGGAAGAAAGCUAAAAAUAUCAGGUCAUCGUUUCUCGCAUGAAGACUUUCAAAGCAACAUUCUUAGGGAUCAAAAAGAAAGUCUGCCAGCAUCUGUGCGGAGGAACUCACCUGCCUGUCCUGCCUUGGCAUUUUGGACGUCUAAAGGGAGCCAGGGCAGUACUGCAUACUGCCUUUAUGCAGUAAAAGUCUAGAUCAGAGUCAUAGCAGAGCAGCUUUUUUCAGUUCUUUUAACUGUGAGGAUAUGUGUAUUCCUGCGGACAGUUGGUUUGAAGAAUAUGGGAAUUCAGAGAUACCAGAUGGGGAGAUUUCCCAAUCUGUUGUGAGAGACUUGCAAUGACCUUUGGCUUCUUGGCUUCUUGUCAGCCUUGGCGCUGUUUGCACUACAGUCAAAUCUGAUGAGGAUACAGCUGCUAGGAUAACGUGGCUAGAGUUUCCUUUGCGUUCUUCUCCUCCUCUCCUCCGCAGUCAGCAAUGCUUUCGUUGUCUGGUGUCUCUGCGCUCAGGACCUUUCACUCUUAACUUUCAAAAACAGCUAACUUCUCUAUUCAGAAGAAGAACGCAAAUUUCAAUGCCAUUAAAUACGUACACAUAGUUUAUUUAGGUUAGCCCACAGCAUUUAACAUUUUGUACAGAUCUCUCUGAAACAUUCCCUCUCGAAGAUUGAAAAAAUAACCAGAUGUUUUGGAGCAGUUACCAGCAAAGUUGAUGUUGAGCUCAGGAAAGUUGUAAAAUUAUUCUUUGGAUUUAUCAGGCGAAGUACUGAUAUUUAUUUAUUUGACUGAUUGAGAUUCUAACUCAGAACAAUUAUUAUUUCAGCUUUGGUCGUCUUGACAGUUUGUGGGUAUAUGACUACUUAGAUAGGUCUAGGGUGGGUCUCAAGCCCCUUAAUUGUAAAGAACAAAUUGUCAGUCCCCAAUCCUUGACAACUAUGGCAGUUUCAUUUUUAACUUUUUUCCCUACCAGAUGUUACAUCUCCUUAUCAAAGAGUUGGAAGUGUCUGUAAUAUGAAAAAAGUAUACCUUUUCUGUACAUGAUGUACAGCUCCUAAUGCCUGAGGAAGGAAUUUACAAUUAAAGAUUUAUGCUUUUACUCUUCUCAAAAUCCUUAUUAUAAGGCCAGCUUUGACAAAUCAUUACUAAACUGCAAUGUCAUUGCUAUUGUGUUUAUUUUUUUCAUGUUAGAAUAAGUUCG